CACGUAGGGGGCAAGCGUUGUCCGGAUUUAUUGGGCGUAAAGAGCUCGUAGGUGGUUCGGUAAGUCGGGUGUUAAACCCCCAGGCUCAACCUGGGACGCCACGUCGAUACUGCUGUGACUAGAGUCCGGUAGGGGAGCGUGGAAUUCCUGGUGUAGCGGUGAAAUGCGCAGAUAAUCAGGAGGAACACCAGCGGCGAAGGCGGCGCUCUGGGCCGGUACUGACACUGAGGAGCGAAGCGUGGUAGCAAACAGGA
This 254-nucleotide ribosomal RNA is filed under the name uncultured bacterium. RNAcentral's name for it is "partial 16S ribosomal RNA". It matches the Rfam family "Bacterial small subunit ribosomal RNA", at positions 524 to 777 of the family's 1533-position model. The record is from RNAcentral.